RNAcentral lists this ribosomal RNA (315 nucleotides) under uncultured eukaryote. RNAcentral describes it as "partial 18S ribosomal RNA". It matches the Rfam family "Eukaryotic small subunit ribosomal RNA", at positions 1470 to 1796 of the family's 1831-position model. The record is from RNAcentral.
CCCUUAGACGUUCUGGGCCGCACGCGCGCUACACUGACCAGUGCAACAAGCAUCCGUCCUUGGCCGACAGGCCCGGGCAAUCUUUGAACGCUGGUCGUGAUGGGGAUAGACUUUUGCAAUUUUUGGUCUUCAACGAGGAAUUCCUAGUAAACGCAAGUCAUCAACUUGCAUUGAUUACGUCCCUGCCCUUUGUACACACCGCCCAUCGCACCUACCGAUUGAAUGGUCCGGUGAAGCCUCCGGAUUGGCGCGCACCUCGGUGCCGCCGAGAAGUUGGCUAAACCUUACCAUUUAGAGGAAGGUGAANUCGUAACA